GAUGAACGCUGGCGGCGUGCUUAACACAUGCAAGUCUAGCGAAGCACUUAAGAAUGAUUCUUCGGAUGAGCACUUUUGUGACUGAGCGGCGGACUGGUGAGUAACGCGUGGGUAACCUGCCUCAUGCAGGGGGAUAACAGUUAGAAAUGACUGCUAAUACCGCAUAAGCGCACAGUGCCGCAGGGGAUCGUGGGAAAAACUCCGGUGGUAUGGGAUGGACCCGCGUUGGAUUAGGCAGUUGGCGGGGUAACGGCCCACCAAACCGACGAUCCAUAGCCGGCCUGAGAGGGUGGACGGCCACAUUGGGACUGAGACACGACCCAAACUCCUACGGGAGGAAGCAGUGGGGAAUAUUGCACAAUGGGGGAAACCCUGAUGCAGCGACGCCGCGUGAGUGAAGAAGUAAUUCGUUAUGUAAAGCUCUAUCAGCAGGGAAGAAAAUGACGGUCCCUGACUAAGACGCCCCGGCUAACUACGUGCCAGCAGCCGCCGUAA
RNAcentral lists this ribosomal RNA (495 nucleotides) under uncultured bacterium. RNAcentral's name for it is "partial 16S ribosomal RNA". It matches the Rfam family "Bacterial small subunit ribosomal RNA", at positions 28 to 523 of the family's 1533-position model. The record is from RNAcentral.